RNAcentral lists this ribosomal RNA (506 nucleotides) under uncultured bacterium. RNAcentral's name for it is "partial 16S ribosomal RNA". It matches the Rfam family "Bacterial small subunit ribosomal RNA", at positions 28 to 523 of the family's 1533-position model. The record is from RNAcentral.
GAUGAACGCUAGCUACAGGCUUAACACAUGCAAGUCGAGGGGUAACAAGAGGAAAGCUUGCUUUUCUUGUUGACGACCGGCGCACGGGUGAGUAACGCGUAUCCAACCUGCCUAUAACUAGGGAAUAACCUUGCGAAAGUAAGACUAAUACCCUAUGAUUUCCUUUGAUGACAUCAGAUUAGGAAUAAAGAUUUAUCGGUUAUAGAUGGGGAUGCGUCUGAUUAGCUUGUUGGCAGGGUAACGGCCCACCAAGGCAACGAUCAGUAGGGGUUCUGAGAGGAAGGUCCCCCACAUUGGAACUGCGACACGGUCCAAACUUCUACGGGAGGCAGCAGUGAGGAAUAUUGGUCAAUGGGCGGAAGCCUGAACCAGCCAAGUAGCGUGCAGGGUGACGGCCCUAUGGGUUGUAAACUGCUUUUAUACAGGAAUAAAGUUAGCCACGUGUGGUUAUUUGUAGGUACUGUAUGAAUAAGGACCGGCUAAUUCCGUGCCAGCCGCCGCCGUAA